UUAGUCUGACGGUCUUGGAGAAACACACACUCGUACACAUACGCAGGGGGAAAUGCGCACAUCCCCGCAGCAGUGGCUGCGUGGAGGUGUUAACUUUAAACUGCACGUUGCGCUUUGCCCUGAAAAGGAAGCUCGCGGUGAAAUGCGUGCUUCAAACGCCGGCGAGGCGAGAAGAGAGCCCGGCUGAGAUCAGGACACCUCCAUGACCUAACCUGCUGUCUGCUUGGUCAUGGAAGAGCGUGGAGCCAAUGAACCUGUCCCUUCAAACGCUACAACUCCUCUGCCCCCUUGCAGAAACUCUUGCCCUCUUCACCAAUUGACUCCUGGACUCAAGACCACCGGUCUGGAUCUGGCCUCUGCCCUCCCUCAUAUGAACUCUGACAAGCUGACCUCGCCUAGAGUAGCCAAACCACUCCCCAGAAGCUGAGCCUGGCUGUUCCCUGGAAGCCCUGGUGCCCACUCCACUACCUGUUCAGGACCACUCAAAGAUCAAUUCCAGUUCAGCUGCCAGCCAAGCUUUGCCUUCAUGGACUUGGUAAUUUGGACUCUGGCCCCUCCUGAGAAGGGGAGAGCUCUUUCUUCAUUCUCAGCCAUCCUACCCAAUAUGUCCCUUCUCCUCACCAGGACUCCUUAGGGAACAGCAUGACUAGAUCCACCCUGUUAAUUGCAAUUAGUCAUGCGCAGAUCUUCUAGCAGCAGACUCACCUACAGAGAUAUGGAAGCAGAGAGAGCACGUAGGCAGGGAUCACUAGGAAGCAACUGGAUUUUCAGACAAGCCCAGAAGCAGAGACAUCCAGAACUCCUAGGGCAGUGGUGCUGGAGUUUCUAGCAUCCAACCCCAAGCCUCAUGUUCAAAAGCAGGCAGGGACAGCCACUAUGUUUUACGAGGUCAGUCUUGUGCUAUGCGAGGGCACUUCUAGUUAUGAAAGCAUCCAAGCCUGGUUCUCUGAUCCUCUCAAAGAUCUGUAAAAUUCCUACUAUCUUUUAAUAAAACCU
Molecule: long non-coding RNA, 996 nt
Organism: Mirounga angustirostris (Northern elephant seal)
Lineage: Eukaryota; Metazoa; Chordata; Mammalia; Carnivora; Phocidae
Exons: 3
Source: RefSeq, a predicted model, not a curated record